CCUACGGGGGGCAGCAGUGGGGAAUAUUGCGCAAUGGGCGAAAGCCUGACGCAGCGACGCCGCGUGAGGGAUGAAGGUCUUCGGAUCGUAAACCUCUGUCAGCAGGGAAGAACGGUCACUGUGCUAAUCAGCAGUGCAUUGACGGUACCUGCAAAGGAAGCACCGGCUAACUCCGUGCCAGCAGCUGCGGUAAUACGGAGGGUGCGGGCGUUACUCGGAGUUACUGGGCGUAAAGCGCUCGUAGGCGGUAUGUCAAGUCAAGGGUGAAAUCCCCGGGCUCAACGUGGGAACUGCCUUUGAAACUGGCAAACUGGAGUGUGUGAGAGGAUAGUGGAAUUCCAGGUGUAGGAGUGAAAUCCGUAGAUAUCUGGAGGAACAUCAGUGGCGAAGGCGACUAUCUGGCACAUAACUGACGCUGAGGAGCGAAAGCGUGGGUAGCAAACAGGAUUAGAUACCCGAGUAGUC
This 465-nucleotide ribosomal RNA is filed under the name uncultured bacterium. RNAcentral describes it as "partial 16S ribosomal RNA". It matches the Rfam family "Bacterial small subunit ribosomal RNA", at positions 338 to 795 of the family's 1533-position model. The record is from RNAcentral.